Transfer RNA from Colletotrichum gloeosporioides Cg-14, 81 nucleotides. It matches the Rfam family "tRNA". Rfam says of the family: Transfer RNA (tRNA) molecules are approximately 80 nucleotides in length. Their secondary structure includes four short double-helical elements and three loops (D, anti-codon, and T loops). Further hydrogen bonds mediate the characteristic L-shaped molecular structure. tRNAs have two regions of fundamental functional importance: the anti-codon, which is responsible for specific mRNA codon recognition, and the 3' end, to which the tRNAs corresponding amino acid is attached (by aminoacyl-tRNA synthetases). tRNAs cope with the degeneracy of the genetic code in two manners: having more than one tRNA (with a specific anti-codon) for a particular amino acid; and 'wobble' base-pairing, i.e. permitting non-standard base-pairing at the 3rd anti-codon position. NCBI's taxonomy places the organism in Eukaryota, Fungi, Ascomycota, Sordariomycetes, Glomerellales, Glomerellaceae. The record is from Rfam.
UCCUCGAUAGUCUAGUGGUGAGGAUAUCGGCUUGUCAUUCAAUGAUCGCCGGGGACCGGGGUUCAAUUCCCCGUCGAGGAG